UGCCAUAUGGCUCCGAAAGUUUACAAUUCUAAUUUUAAAGAGCAAUCAACUUGUGAUAGCAAUAGCAGGCGCGGUUGUUAACGUGAACGCAAUACGAAUAAUUUCUAAUACAUUACCACAGUUCGGUGAGAUGUGAGACAAUACACACAUUCCAUCAAUAACAUUAACUUGGGUUAGCAUAUGUCAACAAAACUCUCAAAAAGUGUAAAAUUACUGUAGUACAAAUAUUCAUGAGUCAUGACAAGUCAUUGAAGAGGGCUGUGACCCUCAUUGGCAGUUGGAUGCCAUUUUCUGUGUUGCCCAUGCACUACUAUAGUCUGCAAGGCAGACAAGAUGCUAUCGUGUGGCAGUACUCUCAAUAUUGAAGAUGUAAAAACUUGCCAAUAAGGCGAUAAUUGCAUCAAAACAACUGUUGCUUGUUAUGGAACUUUCAUCCUUUCCCUCGAUAACGUAUGAUUGACAGUUUCUAGUCGUAUUCUAGUUCGCUGCCAGCGGCCACAAUAUGGGUUGUGAUAAGUUUGAAAUUGUAUCAUUUGCAUCUUCGGACUCCUACAAAAAAAAUACAAUUAGAAUGUAUGCAAUAAUCCGCAAUUACAGAGGGUUAUAGGACACAUAAGAUAUAAGGUCUCACCAAGAAACCCAAUAAUAAAGCUCUUACAUACAUCAGACACAAAAUACCUGAAAAAGUAUAUUACACCCGACCCCUAAGUAUAACAUACCAAUAUACAGUAAUAUUUUGAAAUAUCAAAAUAUAUGCUGCCUCGCAACAAACUCUCCUAAAAAUAAACUCACUAUAAGCACACAAAUAUUAUUCAAAUUUACAGUAUACUGUAUCAUAAGAAAAAUAAAUACAAAAUUGGAAACAUGAAUUUCCAUAGCCUGGUACAAGUGAUUCAGGGAGACUGCAUAAAAACAUAAUAUAUGAUAUACAUAUAACUAUACAAUAGGCGUUCGACAGAGUAGAGUAAUAAAGUUCAAAAUCAUUUUGUUUGAAUUACUUCACCUAUCUAUUUGUUUAAAAUUAUGUAUGGUAGAUUCUGUGGUAUGAACACUUGCAAAAUUAUUCAAAAAAAUUUAAAAUAUAAUGUGACAUUAUGUUGCCUUGACAACACUUGACACAACGUGAGCCUGCGUUCAGUGCUGGCCAAUUGCUAAUAGUUCACGUUAAAUCAAUGUUUGGAAAAUAUAGGCUAGGGGUUGCUGCAUGCAUUUAUUUCUAGUUAAAUAUUAAUUGGAUAUACUCAUGUCACUAGUGGUAUUCAUUAUAUCUUGGUCAGACAAAACAAAUUCCAUAUUUAAGAUGUUUGGCAACCGACAGGUUAAAAUAGACAUCUUAUGAAUUAUAUCACAAACGAUUAAUAAAUUUUU
Molecule: non-coding RNA, 1368 nt
Organism: Paramuricea clavata
Lineage: Eukaryota; Metazoa; Cnidaria; Anthozoa; Malacalcyonacea; Plexauridae
Source: the annotation of a GenBank genome assembly